Eriocheir sinensis (Chinese mitten crab) is the source of this 416-nucleotide long non-coding RNA. RefSeq lists it as uncharacterized. NCBI's taxonomy places the organism in Eukaryota, Metazoa, Arthropoda, Malacostraca, Decapoda, Varunidae. The transcript has 3 exons. The record is from RefSeq and is a predicted model, not a curated record.
UCAGAGUGUUGGACUGUCGAACUGGCCCUUAACUCCCCGCAGCAGACUCUCCCCUUGACACAUUUUACAGGGCUUCACCAACAACGGCAAGACGACCAUCGCCACCCUAUAUCCCUUGGCGCAGGAGCUCAUCGGCCAGCGCACGGGACUCUCUCACAGGGACAUACUAUUGGCCAACACCAUGUACGGCUGCAUCAAUAAGUGGCUUGCUGCUUGCGGAGUGAACGCCGACCCCUGCCAGAACGGCGGGUUUUAUGGAAAAAGCUGCGCUUGUGUGUGUCCCUCGGGCACCUCUGGGGCCAACUGUCAGACAGUGACAGGAGACUACUACGACGAGUUGACGAAUCCCUACACUGAGAAAGUAACUCAGGAAGGCCUCCUCACCUCGCCGGGCUAUCCAAGCAACUACCCAAAUA